CCUACGGGGGGCAGCAGUGGGGAAUAUUGGACAAUGGGGGGAACCCUGAUCCAGCCAUGCCGCGUGUGUGAAGAAGGCCCUCGGGUUGUAAAGCACUUUCAGUGAGGAAGAACGCCUGGUGGUUAAUACCCAUCAGGAAAGACAUCACUCACAGAAGAAGCACCGGCUAACUCCGUGCCAGCAGCCGCGGUAAUACGGAGGGUGCGAGCGUUAAUCGGAAUUACUGGGCGUAAAGCGCGCGUAGGUGGCUUGAUAAGCCGGUUGUGAAAGCCCCGGGCUCAACCUGGGAACGGCAUCCGGAACUGUCAAGCUAGAGUGCAGGAGAGGAAGGUAAAAUUCCCGGUGUAGCGGUGAAAUGCGUUGAGAUUGGGAGGAAUUCCAGUGGCGAAGGCGGCCUUCUGGACUGACACUGACCAUGAGGUGCGAAAGGGUGGGUAGCAAACAGGCUUAGAUACUCCAGUAGUC
RNAcentral lists this ribosomal RNA (465 nucleotides) under Vreelandella stevensii. Its description in RNAcentral is "partial 16S ribosomal RNA". It matches the Rfam family "Bacterial small subunit ribosomal RNA", at positions 338 to 795 of the family's 1533-position model. Lineage: Bacteria; Pseudomonadati; Pseudomonadota; Gammaproteobacteria; Oceanospirillales; Halomonadaceae. The record is from RNAcentral.